Long non-coding RNA from Acipenser ruthenus (sterlet), 753 nucleotides. RefSeq lists it as uncharacterized. The record is from RefSeq and is a predicted model, not a curated record. The transcript is spliced from 2 exons. NCBI's taxonomy places the organism in Eukaryota, Metazoa, Chordata, Actinopteri, Acipenseriformes, Acipenseridae.
CAGUAGGCAGCCUCUGUUCCCGCUGUGAAGUCGACAAGCUGCAUUCACCUGCUGAACCAGCACUAUUGAAUCCUGGAGGCCAAGCCCAGCCUCGUCAUCUCCACCUCCACGCUGAAGCGCAAUGAGGUGAACGAAGCCCAGCCUCGUCUCCAACUCCAAGCUGGGACAGGGAGACCUUGUCGCUGGUACUUGAGUGCAUGUGUGCCUUUAUGGAAGCAGCUGGUAUACGCAAAAGGAGACGCACUGCUAGGUCAGAGAGAGCAGAACCAGGGGCCAUGGGUUGAAGCUGAAGAAGGGCAUAUUCAGAACUGAGGGGAGAAGGAGCUUUUUCACAGAAAGGGUGGUGAACCAUUGGAACAGGCUGCUGGAUAGAGUUGUUGAAGCAGAGACUAUCAGAUCCUUCAAGAAUAGACUGGAUGGUGUCAUGAGCAAUACUGGAUAACCCUCUCUGUGACCACAAUAAGACCUUCAGCUAGUCGUCUGGAGGAAGGGCGGUCCGUCUAGCCACAGGUUCCCAGAGGUUUCAUUUACCCUCCUAAGCUGGCUUGGGGUUUUUGUUUUUCCUCUCCUGCAUGCUAACGGACCACGCUCGCACCAAAGUGAGCGAGCAGAGGUGGGCCCAAUGGCCUUUUCUCAUUCUCGAAUUUCUUAUUUUCUUAAAUAUGCUACUACUGUUAUGACCUCCGGUAGACUUUUGAGAUAUAAUUUUGUUGUUUGUUUGACUACAUGAUGUUAAAUAAAAUAUCUAAAUUA